CACGUAGGGCGCGAGCGUUGUCCGGAAUUAUUGGGCGUAAAGAGCUCGUAGGCGGCCUGUUGCGUCCGCUGUGAAAGCCCGGGGCUUAACCCCGGGUCGCAGUGGAUACGGGCAGGCUAGAGGUAGGUAGGGGAGAAUGGAAUUCCCGGUGUAGCGGUGAAAUGCGCAGAUAUCGGGAGGAACACCUGAGGCGAAGGCGGGCUACUGGGCCGAUACUGACGCUGAUGCGCGAAAGCCAGGGGAGCAAACGGGG
Molecule: ribosomal RNA, 253 nt
Filed under: uncultured bacterium
Lineage: Bacteria
Description: partial 16S ribosomal RNA
Rfam family: Bacterial small subunit ribosomal RNA
Source: RNAcentral